GAUGAACGCUGGCGGCGUGCCUAAUACAUGCAAGUCGAGCGAACGGACGAGAAGCUUGCUUCCCUGAUGUUAGCGGCGGACGGGUGAGUAACACGUGGAUAACCUACCUAUAAGACUGGGAUAACUUCGGGAAACCGGAGCUAAUACCGGAUGAUAUUUUGAACCGCAUGGUUCAAAAGUGAAAGACGGUCUUGCUGUCACUUAUAGAUGGAUCCGCGCUGCAUUAGCUAGUUGGUAAGGUAGCGGCUUACCAAGGCAACGAUGCAUAGCCGACCUGAGAGGGUGAUCGGCCACACUGGAACUGAGACACGGUCCAGACUCCUACGGGAGGCAGCAGUAGGGAAUCUUCCGCAAUGGGCGAAAGCCUGACGGAGCAACGCCGCGUGAGUGAUGAAGGUCUUCGGAUCGUAAAACUCUGUUAUUAGGGAAGAACAUAUGUGUAAGUAACUGUGCACAUCUUGACGGUACCUAAUCAGAAAGCCACGGCUAACUACGUG
This 497-nucleotide ribosomal RNA is filed under the name uncultured bacterium. RNAcentral's name for it is "partial 16S ribosomal RNA". It matches the Rfam family "Bacterial small subunit ribosomal RNA", at positions 28 to 507 of the family's 1533-position model. The record is from RNAcentral.